Molecule: RNA transcript, 1790 nt
Organism: Phragmites australis (common reed)
Lineage: Eukaryota; Viridiplantae; Streptophyta; Magnoliopsida; Poales; Poaceae
Gene name: guanylyl cyclase 1-like
Exons: 9
Source: RefSeq, a predicted model, not a curated record
UAGACGUCACGAAGUCACGGUACUGCCCACGAAUUCCCGUUCGGCUUCUUCCUUACUCUCUGCCCCAAUCCCUAUCCGUUCCGCUCCUCGAUCGCCUCCGCUUCCCUCCAACUCGCCCGCCGCCUUUCUACCGGCACGGCACAAAGGCACCUAACAAAUACAGCCACCGCGCAUCAGUUCCUCGAAGGCCCCCGUACCCAUAAAGGCGCCGCUCGCACCGGUCGCCCUGGCGCCUGCCGCGGCCCUCCUCCGUUUUAAUCACCGUCCGCCCCGGCCUCGCCCAGUCACAAAUCAUUCCGCCAUCGCGGUUUCGCUCCCCUCCCAUCCUUCCACCACUCGCUCUGCUCUGCUGAACACGUUUGCUGCUCUUCCCCUUUCUCUUCGUUGUCAUCCAAUUUCGAACCGCGGGGCCUUGUCGAUUCUGGUAACCGACUCUGUGCCAGCCUAAUCGGUGCGCGGUCGGAGCUACUGCCCGCGAACGAGGGGGGAUUGGAUACCGGUCGAUUUCUCGUGGUGCGGGUUGCUGGGCGGUUGACGAUGUCAUGUGGCCCCUUUGCGUCCUCUCCGAGAAGCUGUUCAAGGUGGCGGGCGACGACGGCGGCCAGGGGCCGGACUCGCCGUCCGCCGACGGGCAGAUUCCUCUACCACGCCGAUCUUACUACGUCGACGUUCCGCAUGUGCAGCAAGCAUUUACCUGGGACUGCGGCCUCGCCUGCGUGCUCAUGGUGCUCAGGACGCUGGGGAUUGAUUGCUGCGUCGACAUUGCCGAUCUCGAGAAGUUCUGCAACACCACAAGGUUCUAUCCAUGGCUGGAAUUUCAACAUUUGGACAGUCGAUUUGGCAUAUCUGUUAAACAAGUUUUCAGUUAGUUUUUCGUUCUUUACUGUGACUCUUGGAGCAAAUCCACAAUAUUCUGCCGAAACCUUUUAUAGGGAACAAUUGCAAGAAGACAUUGAUCGUGUGGAUGAGCUAUUUGGAAAAGCACUCGAUGCUGGAAUUAGUAUUCAAUGCAGAUCCAUUAGUGCAUAUGAUAUUGCUUUUCUACUGUUAUCUGGGCACUGCAUUGCUAUCGCAUUAGUGGACAAAACUAAGCUAAAUUCGUCUUGGAUGAAUGAUGUACAUGAUGUGCAACAGCUCAACAAGGAGUCCGAUUACAUGGGGCAUUAUGUCGUAAUAUGUGGGUAUGAUGCCGAUGCUUGUGAAUUUGAGAUAAGGGAUCCUGCCAGUUCAAGGAAACAUGAAAGGGUGGCAAUGAAGAGCUUAGAUGAGGCCCGAAAAUCCUUUGGAACCGAUGAGGAUAUCCUUUUGGUAGGAGGUGUACUAUGAUCUGUUCUUCACAUUUCUGUCAUGCUCCAUGCUUGAGUCUUCCUCCAUUAAAGUGUGCUAGUACUGUUCAUGCUUGCAUCUUUCAUCAGUCUGCUGGAAGAGUGGGAAAAUGUCUCCUUAACCGGAAAGAGUGGUAUGAAGCUCUCUCGUAAACUCCUGGCCGGCUCCAUGUAAAUUGGUCACCAGCCUCCAGGGUCCAGGCCUCCAGCCACCUUGUGUAUAUGCUGUACAUGUCCCUGUAGUUAUGUUUACCGAUUGUCGACCGUGUACGUAGUGUGAGAACAUUCUUACAGCCGAUAGGAACAGUGUGCCAGUGAAGUUAGCAUCCGCUAUAUGGCAUCACCAAACUGUAGCAACCAAGGGUGUGGCGGCGGCGGCCGAAACCGGCAAAAGCUAUACGACCAUAGCUGAUAAGCUGAACAUGUACAAAUAUCCUUGAAUAAAUUGUGAUCUUUUGCAAAUUA